This 468-nucleotide ribosomal RNA is filed under the name uncultured bacterium. RNAcentral's name for it is "partial 16S ribosomal RNA". It matches the Rfam family "Bacterial small subunit ribosomal RNA", at positions 28 to 507 of the family's 1533-position model. The record is from RNAcentral.
GACGAACGCUGGCGGCGUGCUUAACACAUGCAAGUCGAACGGAAAGGCCCUGCUUUUGUGGGGUGCUCGAGUGGCGAACGGGUGAGUAACACGUGAGUAACCUGCCCUUGACUUUGGGAUAACUUCAGGAAACUGGGGCUAAUACCGGAUAGGAGCUCCUGCUGCAUGGUGGGGGUUGGAAAGUUUCGGCGGUUGGGGAUGGACUCGCGGCUUAUCAGCUUGUUGGUGGGGUAGUGGCUCACCAAGGCUUUAACGGGUAGCCGGCCUGAGAGGGUGACCGGCCACAUUGGGACUGAGAUACGGCCCAGACUCCUACGGGAGGCAGCAGUGGGGAAUAUUGCACAAUGGGCGGAAGCCUGAUGCAGCAACGCCGCGUGCGGGAUGACGGCCUUCGGGUUGUAAACCGCUUUCGCCUGUGACGAAGCGUGAGUGACGGUAAUGGGUAAAGAAGCACCGGCUAACUACGUG